AGUGAACGCUGGCGGUAGGCCUAACACAUGUAAGUCGAACGGCAGCACAGGAGAGCUUGCUCUCUGGGUGGCGAGUGGCGGACGGGUGAGGAAUACAUCGGAAUCUACUUUUUCGUGGGGGAUAACGUAGGAAUACUUACGCUAAUACCGCAUACUACCUACGGGUGAAAGCAGGGGACCUUCGGGCCUUGCGCGAUUGAAUGAGCCGAUGUCGGAUUAGCUAGUUGGCGGGGUAAAGGCCCACCAAGGCGACGAUCCGUAGCUGGUCUGAGAGGAUGAUCAGCCACACUGGAACUGAGACACGGUCCAGACUCCUACGGGAGGCAGCAGUGGGGAAUAUUGGACAAUGGGCGCAAGCCUGAUCCAGCCAUACCGCGUGGGUGAAGAAGGCCUUCGGGUUGUAAAGCCCUUUUGUUGGGAAAGAAAUCCAGCUGGCUAAUACCCGGUUGGGAUGACGGUACCCAAAGAAUAAGCACCGGCUAACUUCGUGCCAGCCGCCGCCGUAA
This 506-nucleotide ribosomal RNA is filed under the name uncultured bacterium. Its description in RNAcentral is "partial 16S ribosomal RNA". It matches the Rfam family "Bacterial small subunit ribosomal RNA", at positions 29 to 523 of the family's 1533-position model. The record is from RNAcentral.